Numida meleagris (helmeted guineafowl) is the source of this 856-nucleotide long non-coding RNA. Lineage: Eukaryota; Metazoa; Chordata; Aves; Galliformes; Numididae. The record is from Ensembl.
GCCCUCCAUGAUAAAAUGUAGGAGAGCUUACCUUGCCAGUUAGCAAAUAAUUCCCCAGUGUCUGAGGGGGAAAAAUCCAUCUUGGCAGCUGAACAACCUUGCCUGUUUGUCUGCAGUCUCAUAGAUGCUGGCAGAGCUGCUCCUCUCACCAGGACGGACUGUGCAGGGCUGGAGAGGAGAUUCGCUCUUUCUCUGAGAGAUAAAGAGCGCAGGAGUGUCCUGGCCCUGACUGAGAGACAAGAGAAUUAAAACUGCAGGAAUGGACUCCUUGGUCCCAGGAGCCCGGAACCACUGUGACAAUUUGCACCCCAUAAACAUGCCAACCACUGGGAAUUUUGUUUUCCAGCACCCAGCUUGCCUUGGAUAGUGGACAGAGGCCCUCUGGCACCAUCAGCAUCCCAUCCUGCCUGCAGAAAGCUCUCCAUCCUCUGUGGCGCUCUCCGUCAGGAAAGUACUUGCACUUUCCAGACAGUGAUGCAGGAAAGGAUGUCACCAACAUCGUGCUUCUGACACACACCCCUGUAACGUGCCGAUACCAGACAACAGUGCUCUGUCAGAACCAAAUCCCCAUUAGGACAGCAGCGAUCUUCCCGAGGCCGCCCCAUCUCGUUUGCAGUGCGUGCUGCCAGGCGGCCGUCACGCUGAGGAGCCCCGGGAUGCUGGUGCUGUGCUGGCCGUGCUCCCACGCAUCAGAGCAGGAGGAUUUGAUGUGGCAUCCUAACAGCCCACAGGAACGUGUGUCAGCAGGAUUUGUGAAAGUGUCAGUGAUUCAGGAACGCACGCACUCACAGCCCGCCUUCAACGUGGUUUUGAUGUUAAACCAAGUGGUGAAGCAGAGUCAGUGUGUUCCAGAACA